Molecule: unclassified non-coding RNA, 377 nt
Filed under: uncultured Bryobacterales bacterium
Lineage: Bacteria; Pseudomonadati; Acidobacteriota; Terriglobia; Bryobacterales
Description: contains 16S-23S intergenic spacer region
Source: RNAcentral
UCCGGUUUGUCACCGGCGGUCUCCUUAGAGUUCCCAACUUAAUGAUGGCAACUAAGGACAAGGGUUGCGCUCGUUGCGGGACUUAACCCAACAUCUCACGACACGAGCUGACGACAGCCAUGCAGCACCUCGACUCCACCCCCUUGCGGGGUAUCGGUAUUUCUACCGACGUUGAGAAGCCGUUCGAGCCCAGGUAAGGUUCUUCGCGUUGCGUCGAAUUGUACCACAUGCUCCACCGCUUGUGCGGGCCCCCGUCAAUUCCUUUGAGUUUCAGCCUUGCGACUGUACUCCCCAGGCGGCAUAUUUAACGCGUUAGCUCCGGCACGGAUCAACUGAAUGACCCACACCAAAUAUGCAUCGUUUAGGGCGUGGACUAC